UACGGAGGAUGCGAGCGUUAUCCGGAUUUAUUGGGUUCAAAGGGUGCGUAGGCGGGAUGCCAAGUCAGCGGUAAAAAUGCGGUGCUCAACCUGCGUCCGCCGUUGAAACUGGCGUUCUUGAGUGGGCGAGAAGUACGCGGAAUGCGUGGUGUAGCGGUGAAAUGCAUAGAUAUCACGCAGAACCCCGAUUGCGAAGGCAGCGUACCGGCGCCCGACUGACGCUGAAGCACGAAAGCGUGGGUAUCGAACAGG
Molecule: ribosomal RNA, 252 nt
Filed under: uncultured bacterium
Lineage: Bacteria
Description: partial 16S ribosomal RNA
Rfam family: Bacterial small subunit ribosomal RNA
Source: RNAcentral